CCCGGGCUGAGGGAUGAGCCCGGCGCCGCGGGGUCCCUGUGGGGACCGGCACUGCCGAGCAGCUCCGGGGGCUGAGCGGGACUCUCUGGGUGGGGCUCCAGCGCCUUGCAAAGCCCAUCGCUCCUGUGGCAGCGCAGAGAGGCCCGCGGGCCUGUGACCACCCCCGGCAGGGUGCCCGGGGCCGCAGGGCCACCCCGGCUCCCCGCAGCUCCCGGCGGGAGAGGCACGGGCCGUGGGAUCUGCCGGGGCCGCGGCCCUCCGAGAGUAUUGUUUCUAAUUAAUGCCUGUGUGGUAGCCUAAUUUGUGUUACCGGGCUCUCUGGAGUAUUGUAGCAACAAAGAUUGCCUGUGCCUGUGGAAGUUGAUUUGAAGUCCUAGGAAUUUAAUUGCUUGACCAUCUACUUGUGUAGUCUAAAAUCUUCCGUCUGAAGAAUACAACACAAGUACUUGUUUUGAAUAGAUGUAUCAGCUGAGUCUCAAUAGAGACCUUCCCCACUAAGAGGCAGCAAGGGGAAGAGCUGGGAAGGGGCUGCACCUGGUUAGUGGAAGGUUUCCUUUCUGUCUUCCUCUGUCCCUUCUUAGAGCUGUCUGUUUGGAAAUGCUCGACUAUGUUGUGAUGUGCAAUUCUCAGAGAAGAAACAUGGCAGAGACCAGCAGACAUUCAUUUGAAAUGAUUUUCAUUCACUGCAUUCUGGAAUGGACUUGAAAGCAGGUCUCAGAGGCAACUUGAAGGUGGAAAUUGCCAAUCUGUUGACAGGAAGUGCUGGAAGAAGCAAUGUGAGUGAUUUCCUUGGUGACUAUCAGACACUUCGGGCCAGGCUUUCAAACUACAUUUGUAAUAAAAGAAAUACACAAAUGCA
Molecule: long non-coding RNA, 859 nt
Organism: Vidua chalybeata
Lineage: Eukaryota; Metazoa; Chordata; Aves; Passeriformes; Viduidae
Exons: 4
Source: RefSeq, a predicted model, not a curated record